ACCNGUCUCCAGAUGUCCACAGCAAGCCUA
This 30-nucleotide non-coding RNA is filed under the name Mus musculus (house mouse). Lineage: Eukaryota; Metazoa; Chordata; Mammalia; Rodentia; Muridae. The record is from RNAcentral.